Molecule: ribosomal RNA, 253 nt
Filed under: uncultured bacterium
Lineage: Bacteria
Description: partial 16S ribosomal RNA
Rfam family: Bacterial small subunit ribosomal RNA
Source: RNAcentral
UACGUAGGGGGCAAGCGUUGUCCGGAAUCAUUGGGCGUAAAGCGCGUGUAGGCGGCUGACUAAGUCCGCUCUGAAAGCCCGGGGCUCAACCCCGGGAGGCGGGUGGAUACUGGUCAGCUCGAGUCCGGAAGAGGAGUGUGGAAUUCCUGGUGUAGCGGUGAAAUGCGCAGAUAUCGGGAGGAACACCAAUGGCGAAGGCAGCUCGCUGGGACGGUACUGACGCUGAGGCGCGAAAGCGUGGGGAGCAAACAGG